Molecule: transfer RNA, 67 nt
Filed under: unidentified
Description: Cteniopinus hypocrita tRNA-Pro
Source: RNAcentral
UCAAGAAAUAGUUUAUUUAAAAAUAUUAAUUUUGGAGAUUAAAGAUGAAUUUGUGUUUUUUCUUGAU